CUGUAUGUUGCGUAACGAGAAACAAGGAUCAAAGUUUCGCUCCUUUGGCCACUGCCACUAAAGUCGACAAGACAAAUUCGCUAGCGCCAGUGCCACUUAGGUGAAACGAAAUUUUAUGCCAGAAUUAUUUUGGAACUCAA
Long non-coding RNA from Rhodamnia argentea, 140 nucleotides. RefSeq lists it as uncharacterized. The transcript has 4 exons. Lineage: Eukaryota; Viridiplantae; Streptophyta; Magnoliopsida; Myrtales; Myrtaceae. The record is from RefSeq and is a predicted model, not a curated record.